GUGGAUGUGCUGCAGUGCAAUAUAUAGUAUAAUAGCCCCUGGGAAAGUGUUUUGGUUUAUGUAUCACAAAAAAUGUGCGAUAACAUUUGGGUCUCUGGGGUGAAGUAUUAGGAUAGAAGGGAGGGUCAAUGCUCCACUCCACAAUUUAAAUACAGCAUAUCAGAUGAAGAAUCCAGCGCAUGAGUUCUGAAUCAUUCAGGUAUUUCCCCACCUGUGAGCAAUGAGCAACAAAUGGCUUUUGAUGAAUUUAUCUAUCAGGGAUUCAGUGGUAGAGAAUACAAGCAGUGAGUGUGAGUGAG
Pelobates cultripes (western spadefoot toad) is the source of this 299-nucleotide non-coding RNA. The record is from the annotation of a GenBank genome assembly. Lineage: Eukaryota; Metazoa; Chordata; Amphibia; Anura; Pelobatidae.